AUUUAACAUGUGUUAUGUUGUUUCUUGAAAUUGUUUAUUAAUUAUAAAAUGGCUGAGUGUGUUUUGCUGGGGCGGCAUGAAUAUAACUUGUAACUGUUCGUAAAUUGUAAUAUAGAUAUAUAGAUUUUGGUCCUUUAUUAAGGAGAUAAGAGUAAGUU
Molecule: ribosomal RNA, 158 nt
Filed under: Synalpheus tumidomanus
Lineage: Eukaryota; Metazoa; Arthropoda; Malacostraca; Decapoda; Alpheidae
Description: partial 16S ribosomal RNA
Source: RNAcentral